Molecule: ribosomal RNA, 1042 nt
Filed under: Staphylococcus aureus
Lineage: Bacteria; Bacillati; Bacillota; Bacilli; Caryophanales; Staphylococcaceae
Description: bacterial SSU rRNA
Rfam family: Bacterial small subunit ribosomal RNA
Source: RNAcentral
AUGUUAGCGGCGGACGGGUGAGUAACACGUGGAUAACCUACCUAUAAGACUGGGAUAACUUCGGGAAACCGGAGCUAAUACCGGAUAAUAUUUUGAACCGCAUGGUUCAAAAGUGAAAGACGGUCUUGCUGUCACUUAUAGAUGGAUCCGCGCUGCAUUAGCUAGUUGGUAAGGUAACGGCUUACCAAGGCAACGAUGCAUAGCCGACCUGAGAGGGUGAUCGGCCACACUGGAACUGAGACACGGUCCAGACUCCUACGGGAGGCAGCAGUAGGGAAUCUUCCGCAAUGGGCGAAAGCCUGACGGAGCAACGCCGCGUGAGUGAUGAAGGUCUUCGGAUCGUAAAACUCUGUUAUUAGGGAAGAACAUAUGUGUAAGUAACUGUGCACAUCUUGACGGUACCUAAUCAGAAAGCCACGGCUAACUACGUGCCAGCAGCCGCGGUAAUACGUAGGUGGCAAGCGUUAUCCGGAAUUAUUGGGCGUAAAGCGCGCGUAGGCGGUUUUUUAAGUCUGAUGUGAAAGCCCACGGCUCAACCGUGGAGGGUCAUUGGAAACUGGAAAACUUGAGUGCAGAAGAGGAAAGUGGAAUUCCAUGUGUAGCGGUGAAAUGCGCAGAGAUAUGGAGGAACACCAGUGGCGAAGGCGACUUUCUGGUCUGUAACUGACGCUGAUGUGCGAAAGCGUGGGGAUCAAACAGGAUUAGAUACCCUGGUAGUCCACGCCGUAAACGAUGAGUGCUAAGUGUUAGGGGGUUUCCGCCCCUUAGUGCUGCAGCUAACGCAUUAAGCACUCCGCCUGGGGAGUACGACCGCAAGGUUGAAACUCAAAGGAAUUGACGGGGACCCGCACAAGCGGUGGAGCAUGUGGUUUAAUUCGAAGCAACGCGAAGAACCUUACCAAAUCUUGACAUCCUUUGACAACUCUAGAGAUAGAGCCUUCCCCUUCGGGGGACAAAGUGACAGGUGGUGCAUGGUUGUCGUCAGCUCGUGUCGUGAGAUGUUGGGUUAAGUCCCGCAACGAGCGCAACCCUUAAGCUUAGU